This 570-nucleotide ribosomal RNA is filed under the name Shewanella sp. A311. Its description in RNAcentral is "bacterial SSU rRNA". It matches the Rfam family "Bacterial small subunit ribosomal RNA", at positions 869 to 1438 of the family's 1533-position model. The record is from RNAcentral. Lineage: Bacteria; Pseudomonadati; Pseudomonadota; Gammaproteobacteria; Alteromonadales; Shewanellaceae.
CCGCCUGGGGAGUCCGGCCGCAAGGUUAAAACUCAAAUGAAUUGACGGGGGCCCGCACAAGCGGUGGAGCAUGUGGUUUAAUUCGAUGCAACGCGAAGAACCUUACCUACUCUUGACAUCCAGAGAAUUUWCCAGAGAUGGUUUAGUGCCUUCGGGAACUCUGAGACAGGUGCUGCAUGGCUGUCGUCAGCUCGUGUUGUGAAAUGUUGGGUUAAGUCCCGCAACGAGCGCAACCCUUAUCCUUAUUUGCCAGCRSGUAAUGGUGGGAACUUUAGGGAGACUGCCGGUGAUAAACCGGAGGAAGGUGGGGACGACGUCAAGUCAUCAUGGCCCUUACGAGUAGGGCUACACACGUGCUACAAUGGCGAGUACAGAGGGUUGCGAAGCCGCGAGGUGAAGCUAAUCCCAGAAAGCUCGUCGUAGUCCGGAUUGGAGUCUGCAACUCGACUCCAUGAAGUCGGAAUCGCUAGUAAUCGUGGAUCAGAAUGCCACGGUGAAUACGUUCCCGGGCCUUGUACACACCGCCCGUCACACCAUGGGAGUGGGCUGCACCAGAAGUAGAUAGACUUA